This 78-nucleotide signal recognition particle RNA is filed under the name Klebsiella michiganensis. RNAcentral describes it as "signal recognition particle sRNA small type". It matches the Rfam family "Bacterial small signal recognition particle RNA". Rfam says of the family: The signal recognition particle (SRP) is a universally conserved ribonucleoprotein involved in the co-translational targeting of proteins to membranes. Lineage: Bacteria; Pseudomonadati; Pseudomonadota; Gammaproteobacteria; Enterobacterales; Enterobacteriaceae. The record is from RNAcentral.
UAACGCCAACGCUACUCUGUUUACCAGGUCAGGUCCGGAAGGAAGCAGCCAGAGCAGACGACGUGUGUGCCGGGAUGU